GACGAACGCUGGCGGCGUGCUUAACACAUGCAAGUCGAACGGUAAGGCCCUUCGGGGUACACGAGUGGCGAACGGGUGAGUAACACGUGGGUGAUCUGCCCUGCACUUCGGGAUAAGCCUGGGAAACUGGGUCUAAUACCGGAUAGGACCCUGGGAUGCAUGUCCUGGGGUGGACAGCUUUUGCGGUGUGGGAUGGGCCCGCGGCCUAUCAGCUUGUUGGUGGGGUGAUGGCCUACCAAGGCGACGACGGGUAGCCGGCCUGGGAGGGUGACCGGCCACACUGGGACUGAGAUACGGCCCAGACUCCUACGGGAGGCAGCAGUGGGGAAUAUUGCACAAUGGGCGCAAGCCUGAUGCCGCGACGCCGCGUGAGGGAUGACGGCCUUCGGGUUGUAAACCUCUUUCAGCACCGACGAAGCGCAAGUGACGGUAGGUGCAGAAGAAGGACCGGCCAACUACGUGCCAGCAGCCGCCGUAA
This 478-nucleotide ribosomal RNA is filed under the name uncultured bacterium. RNAcentral describes it as "partial 16S ribosomal RNA". It matches the Rfam family "Bacterial small subunit ribosomal RNA", at positions 28 to 523 of the family's 1533-position model. The record is from RNAcentral.